UCCCUGCACAGAUCCAGGCUGUCUCUUGCAGUGCGCAUGCACCUACCGUAUCGUUAUCAACGUCGCCCAGGCAGAUUGCGUGCGGGAAGAGGCUCCCGCUGAACUCCAGCGCCACGCGCUGCACGUAGCUAACUGACCUCAUGGCACCUCCAAGAGCAGAGGGAGCGGGGAGGCCCAGUAAAUGUUCCCCGAACCCCCGUCGCAACAGCCGCCAGAGCGGAAGACCACCUAAGGCAGAAAGUUACGUCACUGCCUGAACCUCCAAUCUCUGCCUCUUCCUCCUUUAACCUUACUGAGGAGGCGGGUCUUCCGGGCUUGGAGGCGGGCUUACCAACUCUGAUGUGCAGCAAGACUUGGUUUGAAAAAGGAGACAAAAGGCUGAGAGAUCUGAGUUCAAGUUUCCGCUGUAUG
RNAcentral lists this non-coding RNA (411 nucleotides) under Pongo abelii (Sumatran orangutan). The record is from RNAcentral. Lineage: Eukaryota; Metazoa; Chordata; Mammalia; Primates; Hominidae.